Molecule: unclassified non-coding RNA, 789 nt
Filed under: Zea mays
Lineage: Eukaryota; Viridiplantae; Streptophyta; Magnoliopsida; Poales; Poaceae
Description: misc RNA Zm00001eb060150
Source: RNAcentral
GUGACGUCAUGGCAUGCACAGCAGCAAGUAGCAACAAGGCAAGCAAACCGCGCUGUGCGUGAGAAAUUUACCCACCCUGUGUGCAUGCAAGUGGAAAUUUUGCACGAACAGCGCGAAAAAAAAACUGAAAAUUCUUGUACACUCAGCCUAUGUAUAAAAACAUUACAGUACUAAAUAGCUUGAUUAGAAUUAGAACAAGGGGCUGAGCUCCUGGAUGGUCUGCAUGGUGUUGGGGGAGAAGAUGAUGCCCGGGGACAGCAGCGUCCCGGCGGUCAUGGGGGACGACAGCUGCGUCGUCGUCGCCGUCGUUGGUGGCGCCGGCGCGGCCCGGCGCUGGCCGAGCGUGAGCAGGAGAGGGUCGCCGGCGCCGCCCUCCUCGGCCGUCGCGGGCGAGAUCGUCGGCAAGGACGAGGACGACGUCGUCGUCGUGGCAGGGGGCUUGCCGGUGAGCCGCUGCACGACGGUCAUGAACUCCUGCGGCCUGGCGUGGAUGACCUUGGGCGUGUGUUCGUACACGAUCACCGGCUUCUUGGUGGUGGUAGUGGACGCCGUCGUCGGCGCCGGCGAGGAGCCCCGCGACGACGACGACGACGACACCUUCAGCGGCAGCGGCCGCGGCCCUCGGAGGCCGGUAGCAGGAGCAGCUCGCUUGGAAGGAGACGACGACGCCUCGGAGGAAGGCAUGGCGGCCACGGUCAUGGUCAUGGCAGCUGCACCAAGCUUCUCGACCAACUGGCGCUGCGUACGUGCUUUGCUCGGUCCGCUGGCGACGUGUGCUCUACGGAGUAC